UUGUCACUAGUUGCCAGCGCGUCAUGGCGGGGACUCUAGUGAGACUGCCGGUGUUAAACCGGAGGAAGGUGGGGAUGACGUCAGGUCCUCAUGGCCUUUAUGACUAGGGCUGCACACGUCCUACAAUGCCACGUACAAAGGGAAGCAAACUCGCGAGAGUAAGCAAAUCUCAAAAAACGUGGCCCAGUUCGGAUUGCAGGCUGCAACUCGCCUGCAUGAAGCCGGAAUCGCUAGUAAUCGCGGGUCAGCAUACCGCGGUGAAUGUGUUCCUGAGCCUU
RNAcentral lists this ribosomal RNA (278 nucleotides) under uncultured bacterium. Its description in RNAcentral is "partial 16S ribosomal RNA". It matches the Rfam family "Bacterial small subunit ribosomal RNA", at positions 1105 to 1382 of the family's 1533-position model. The record is from RNAcentral.